GCGAUUCGGUAUGACUUGAUUAUAAAUAAAUUUAUAUUUUUUAUGUUGUUAAGAUUAUUUAUUUAAAAAGUAUUUAUUGGUUAUUGUAUUUAUUUAAGAUAUAAUUUAUUUUAUUAUAGUUUAUUAGUACUGUGAUGGUUUAUUGAAAUAUAAGUUUAUAUAUAAAUAAGUUGAUUUUAUUUAUUGUACCUUGUGUAUCAGGGUUUAUUAAUAAUACUAUAUGUAUAUUAUUUUUCUCGAUUUAAGGAGAGUUACUUAUUUAUAUUAGUUAUUGUUAUAUAAUUAUUCAUAAUAAAUAGGUGGUGAUGAAAUGUUAAUCGUUCCUUACUAUAUCUGGUUUUCUGAGAAAUGAAUUUAAUUCAUGUAUUAAAUAUUUGAUAAAAUAAUUUUAAUAAUUUUUUUAUUAUUUAAUACUAAUAUUUAGGGGGAUAAGCUUUUAAAUAAAUUUUUAUAAAUUGUUUAAUUUAUUUAAGUUUAAUGAAUUUAAGAAUGAUUAUUAUUUUGUGUAUGUUAAAAUUUUACUUAUUCAUAUUUUUAUUUUUGUUAUUUUAAAUUUAUUAUUGGAAUAUUUUAAUUAAUUAAUAGUUAAUAGUUAUUAUGGUGAAAUUAGUAUAUUAAAAUAAUAUAAUAUUUUUGAUAUGGAUGAAUUGAUUAUAAGGAAUUAGGCAAAAUAGUAUGUUCGCCUGUUUAACAAAAACAUCUUUUCUUGUAUAUAUAUUAUGAAAUAUAACCUGCCCACUGAUAUAAAUUGAAGGGCCGCGGUAUUUUGACCGUGCAAAGGUAGCAUAAUCAUUAGUCUUUUAAUUAAAGGCUGGAAUGAAUGGUUGGACGAGAUAUAAACUGUCUUUUAAUUAAAUUUGGAAUUUAAUUAUUAAGUAAGAAAGCUUAAAUUUUUUUAUGGGACGAGAAGACCCUAUAGAGUUUUAUAAUUUUUAAUAAUUAAUUGGUUUGAUAAAAUAAUUUUAUUAAAAAUUAUUUUGUUGGGGUGAUGAAAAGAUAAAAUUAACUCUUUUUAUUGUAAAAUAUUUAUUUAUAGAUAUUGGAUCCAUAAAUAUUGAUUAUAAGACUAAAUUACCUUAGGGAUAACAGCGUAAUCUUUUUUAAGAGUUCAUAUCGACAAAAAGGGUUGCGACCUCGAUGUUGGAUUAAGAUUAAUAUUAGGUGUAGAAGUUUAAUGUAUUAGGUCUGUUCGACCUUAAAAAUCUUACAUGAUCUGAGUUCAAACCGGCGUGAGCCAGGUUGGUUUCUAUCUAUAAUAAUUUAUAAUAUCUUAGUACGAAAGGACCAGUUAUUAGAAAUAAUUUUAUUUAUAAGAAUAUUAUUAAUUGUUUGACUAUUUUGGCAGAAAAGUGCGGUGGAUUUAGAAUCUAUAAAUA
Molecule: ribosomal RNA, 1376 nt
Filed under: Parcoblatta divisa
Lineage: Eukaryota; Metazoa; Arthropoda; Insecta; Blattodea; Blattellidae
Description: 16S ribosomal RNA
Rfam family: Archaeal large subunit ribosomal RNA (bases 1082-1241)
Source: RNAcentral